CCUACGGGUGGCAGCAGUGGGGAAUAUUGGACAAUGGGGGGAACCCUGAUCCAGCCAUGCCGCGUGUGUGAAGAAGGCCCUCGGGUUGUAAAGCACUUUCAGUGAGGAAGAACGCCUGGUGGUGAAUACCCAUCAGGAAAGACAUCACUCACAGAAGAAGCACCGGCUAACUCCGUGCCAGCAGCCGCGGUAAUACGGAGGGUGCGAGCGUUAAUCGGAAUUACUGGGCGUAAAGCGCGCGUAGGUGGCUUGAUAAGCCGGUUGUGAAAGCCCCGGGCUCAAACUGGGAACGGCAUCCGGAACUGUCAAGCUAGAGUGCAGGAGAGGAAGGUAGAAUUCCCGGUGUAGCGGUGAAAUGCGUAGAGAUCGGGAGGAAUACCAGUGGCGAAGGCGGCCUUCUGGACUGACACUGACACUGAGGUGCGAAAGCGUGGGUAGCAAACAGGAUUAGAUACCCUUGUAGUC
RNAcentral lists this ribosomal RNA (465 nucleotides) under Vreelandella stevensii. RNAcentral describes it as "partial 16S ribosomal RNA". It matches the Rfam family "Bacterial small subunit ribosomal RNA", at positions 338 to 795 of the family's 1533-position model. Lineage: Bacteria; Pseudomonadati; Pseudomonadota; Gammaproteobacteria; Oceanospirillales; Halomonadaceae. The record is from RNAcentral.